This 505-nucleotide ribosomal RNA is filed under the name uncultured bacterium. RNAcentral's name for it is "bacterial SSU rRNA". It matches the Rfam family "Bacterial small subunit ribosomal RNA", at positions 17 to 518 of the family's 1533-position model. The record is from RNAcentral.
UCCUGGCUCAGGAUGAACGCUAGCUACAGGCUAACACAUGCAAGUCGAGGGGCAGCAUGACCUAGCAAUAGGUUGAUGGCGACCGGCGCACGGGUGAGUAACACGUAUCCAACCUACCGGUUAUUCCGGGAUAGCCUUUCGAAAGAAAGAUUAAUACCGGAUAGCAUAGCGAGAAGGCAUCUUCUUGUUAUUAAAGAAUUUCGAUGACCGAUGGGGAUGCGUUCCAUUAGUUUGUUGGCGGGUAACGGCCCACCAAGACAUCGAUGGAUAGGGGUUCUGAGAGGAAGGUCCCCCACAUUGGAACUGAGACACGGUCCAAACUCCUACGGGAGGCAGCAGUGAGGAACAUUGGUCAAUGGACGAGAGUCUGAACCAGCCAAGUAGCGUGAAGGAUGACUGCCCUAUGGGUUGUAAACUUCUUUUAUAUGGGAAUAAAGUGAGCCACGUGUGGCUUUUUGUAUGUACCAUACGAAUAAGGAUCGGCUAACUCCGUGCCAGCCGCGGC